GAUGAACGCUGGCGGCGUGCCUAAUACAUGCAAGUCGAGCGAACGGACGAGAAUCUUGCUUCUCUGAUGUUAGCGGCGGACGGGUGAGUAACACGUGGAUAACCUACCUAUAAGACUGGGAUAACUUCGGGAGACCGUAGCUAAUACCGGAUAAUAUUUUGAACCGCAUGGUUCAAAAGUGAAAGACGGUCUUGCUGUCACUUAUAGAUGGAUCCGCGCUGCAUUAGCAAGUUGGUAAGGUAACGGCUUACCAAGGCAACGAUGCGUAGACGACCUGAGAGGGUGAUCGGCCACACUGGAACUGAGACACGGUCCAGACUCCUACGGGAGGCAGCAGUAGGGAAUAUUCCACAAUGGGCGAAAGCCUGACGGAGCAACGCCGCGUGAGUGAUGAAGGUCUUCGGAUCGUAAAACGCUGUUAGUAGGGAAGAACAUAUGUGUAAGAAACUGUGCACAUCUUGACGGUACCUAAUGAGAAAGCCCCGGCUAACUACGUG
This 497-nucleotide ribosomal RNA is filed under the name uncultured bacterium. RNAcentral describes it as "partial 16S ribosomal RNA". It matches the Rfam family "Bacterial small subunit ribosomal RNA", at positions 28 to 507 of the family's 1533-position model. The record is from RNAcentral.